Molecule: ribosomal RNA, 484 nt
Filed under: uncultured bacterium
Lineage: Bacteria
Description: partial 16S ribosomal RNA
Rfam family: Bacterial small subunit ribosomal RNA
Source: RNAcentral
AUUGAACGCUGGCGGCAGGCCUAACACAUGCAAGUCGAGCGGAUGAAGGGAGCUUGCUCCUGGAUUCAGCGGCGGACGGGUGAGUAAUGCCUAGGAAUCUGCCUGGUAGUGGGGGAUAACGUCCGGAAACGGGCGCUAAUACCGCAUACGUCCUGAGGGAGAAAGUGGGGGAUCUUCGGACCUCACGCUAUCAGAUGAGCCUAGGUCGGAUUAGCUAGUUGGUGGGGUAAAGGCCUACCAAGGCGACGAUCCGUAACUGGUCUGAGAGGAUGAUCAGUCACACUGGAACUGAGACAGCGUCCAGAGUCCUAAGGGAGGCAGCAGUGGGGAAUAUUGGACAAUGGGCGAAAGCCUGAUCCAGCCAUGCCGAGUGUGUGAAGAAGGUCUUCGGAUUGUAAAGCACUUUAAGUUGGGAGGAAGGGCAGUAAGUUAAUACCUUGCUGUUUUGACGUUACCAACAGAAUAAGCACCGGCUAACUUCGUG